UAUGGUUGGUGGUUUUCUAGACCUUAUGUUUCUGGGACAGCUAAAUCUACAUGGUGAGCUAAUGAUCCGACAUUUGGAGAAUGUGCUUACGUUAGAUGAUGCAAGAAAUGCCAAUUUGGUUAGGAAAGACAACCUUGAUUCAUUAGGGCUCUGCUGGGGAAAUAAUGAUGAUGAGUCAACCUCAAAUCCUUGGAUGGAAUGCAAAAAGACUAUGUUCCUUGGAAGAGACCGGCAUCCCUCAUAUAGACCAUUAGAAGGGCAUCAACUUAGUGCUGACGUUACAGAAGAAGUUAUGGAAGGCCUCCAACCUCACAAAAAUUUGAAGGUACUAGUUGUGAAAGGAUACCCAGGAACAAGAUUUCCAAAUUGGACACUGCCAAAUCUUACGGAGGUUCAUUUCACCAACUGUGAAAGAUGUAUAUGUCUUCCUGUCCUAGGGGCUCUGCCAUCGCUUUCUAGACUCUCCCUGCAGGGAAUGCCUUCCAUGAGGGGAAUUGGGAGAGAGUUCUAUGGUGAAGAAAUCGAAAGGCCAUUUCCUUCUCUUCAAGAAUUUGAACUCAGCAAUUUCCCUAAUUUGCAAGAAUGGUUUGAUGAAAAUGGCAGAGCUGCCUUCCCUAUAUUGAGAAAAUUAAUUGUCAAGAAAUGCCCCAAGUUGACUUCAUUGCCCUUGAUUUUGUCUCUUCAGCAUUUAGAACUGCGGGAUUGCAGUGCUAUUCUAUUUAAUUACAUUCAAAGUUUAUCCUCCCUUAGAAUUCUUGCAAUUGAGAAAGUAGCAGAUUUGAUAUCUUUCCCAGGAGAGUUUCUUGCAAACAGCCCCCUUACUUCUCUGGACAUUGUAUCUUGCCACAAAAUUUGUUUAUUGCCAUCAGAGUUGGGUAGCCUCAAGAGUCUUAAGUCACUAAAAAUUCGUUGGUGCGAAAAUCUUUCCUCGCUGCCACAAGGUUUGCAGAACCUCAAGGCCUUGGAGUUGUUGGAGAUUACUGAUUGCCACAGUAUAGUUUCCAUGCCAGAUGACGGGAUUGGAGGUUUGAGUUCCCUUAGAAGCUUGUCCAUUGAGAACUGCAAUAAUCUGACUUAUUUAUCAAUGAGUCUGCAGAAUCUCACAUGUCUUGAGCACUUG
RNAcentral lists this unclassified non-coding RNA (1120 nucleotides) under Hevea brasiliensis (rubber tree). Lineage: Eukaryota; Viridiplantae; Streptophyta; Magnoliopsida; Malpighiales; Euphorbiaceae. The record is from RNAcentral.